Molecule: small nucleolar RNA, 76 nt
Filed under: Sparus aurata (gilthead seabream)
Lineage: Eukaryota; Metazoa; Chordata; Actinopteri; Spariformes; Sparidae
Description: Small nucleolar RNA SNORD82 (ENSSAUG00010027649.1)
Rfam family: Small nucleolar RNA SNORD82
About the family: snoRNA U82 or Z25 is found in both humans and mice. U82/Z25 is a member of the C/D class of snoRNA which contain C (UGAUGA) and D (CUGA) box motifs.
Source: Rfam by way of RNAcentral
CACACAUUUAUUGUGAUGAUCAACAAGGGACUUAAUACUGAUGUCUGAUGUCACCUUUGUAUUAUUCUGAAUGUGU